Molecule: long non-coding RNA, 350 nt
Filed under: Trifolium pratense (red clover)
Lineage: Eukaryota; Viridiplantae; Streptophyta; Magnoliopsida; Fabales; Fabaceae
Description: long non-coding RNA (TPRA_LNC006710)
Source: RNAcentral
CGGAUAUCGGAGGUGAGAUACUCUGAUAAAGACGAUGGUACCACAUGCAUUAGAGGUGUCUAGAGGACAUAACAUGAAUGUGAAGCAUUAGAUUGCAUUAGGGAUUAUGUGUGCAUUUUAUUAUAAAUGUUGUUUGACACAUACUUGGUAAAUGUUGAUUGUUAAUCCGUAUGUGAGGAGCAGAGUCCGUCAUGACUAUAAAAUGAACAACGCAGGGUCCGUCAUGACCAUAAUCUGAACAAUGUAUUUGUGGUGUUAGAUUACAUUAGGAACUUUAUGUAUAUCCCUAUUUGUAAUUGAGUUAUGUGAUAUGUGUUGAUGUUUUGGUAUUGUCCGAGACGACGUGAAAC